RNAcentral lists this long non-coding RNA (1161 nucleotides) under Cricetulus griseus (Chinese hamster). RNAcentral's name for it is "lncRNA (ENSCGRG00015037429.1)". Lineage: Eukaryota; Metazoa; Chordata; Mammalia; Rodentia; Cricetidae. The record is from RNAcentral.
UCUGCUUCUGCUUCCAUCAGCUACUAGAUGAAGGCUCUAGGAUGGCAUAUAAGAACACUGAUGCGCUCUGGAAAGAGUAACUCCCUGUUUCUUUCACUUGGAGAUCUGAAGUACGCCUGGCAGACAGACUGAUUGCAGCAAGAGAAGCAGCUUCAAUGCCAGAUGGAAAGGAAACAAUGUGAGACUUUUUGCUUGUGUUUCUUUAAGCAGAGUGUUACAGACCUUCUGGAUCCAUGAGGGACUCAGUGAAGGUGUUCAUCGACACAUUCAGAAUCUGAAUGCUUUGCUAUUGCCUUCCAUAUGGGGACACCUGGGAAAAUGACUUACCAUUGAUCAUUUGUCAAAGGAAGAGAAGAAAGAAAGGACACUAAUGUUUACUUAACAUCCACUAUGUGCCAGACACUAUGCUAGUAGACUUUUUAUCAAAUUAAGUACCAUUCUAACAAUGAUAAAUUCUUCACUGCUAAGGCAAGUUUUUUACUAGGAUGUAUGAUUCCCUAACAUUAUUUGGAUAUUCCAAUCCCUGCAUCCUACCCAGGCAACUUAAGAAUCUCAAUUAGAGAUGAACAAGGGAAGUAAGAUGAAACCUGCUAGAAAUGAAAACACUAAUCCAGCAGCCACCUCUGAAUAACAUGAAUAUAACGGGCUAUAAAUUAAUGAUCACUUCCUGAAAAAUUGUGUACAUUCCAGCAAUAUGGCAUAGCAGAAAUGUUUUGGGGAAAAUACUUGGUUUCAAGCCACAGCCCCAUCACCCACAGACUAUCUGAGAGUCACCAGGGCUCCUCUCUGGGACUCAGUUUCUCUACAUGAAUAUAAGCUGUGCUUUGUUAGCUUUCUGUUGAACAAGUAGAAGAGAUAACAAAGUUUUACUAGAUAAGUGCCUGUGAAGAUAGCAGUGGUCUGAGCCUCCAGCUUCCAUCAAAGUCUGUUGUUUUCAUUGUUUGGGAGUGGGCAGUAGGCAGGAUAAAGAGUUUAGACAGAAAAUAUUCCAGUUAAAGAACAAUUAUUUUGUCACAGCACUUUAAAAAUAUUUAAUUAAAUGAGCUUUAAAUUCUGUCCUAAGUCUGAGUUCUGUGAUUCUAUGGGUUUCAGAAAUUGGAUUGCCAAUUCCUAGUCUGAAAACAAAACAGAAUAAAAAACAAAAACAAAAAAACCAAACAG